This is a small nuclear RNA of Manis pentadactyla (Chinese pangolin), 162 nucleotides long. RefSeq annotates it as U1 spliceosomal RNA. The record is from RefSeq and is a predicted model, not a curated record. Lineage: Eukaryota; Metazoa; Chordata; Mammalia; Pholidota; Manidae. The transcript has a single exon.
AUACUUAUUUGACAGGGGAGAUGCCAUGAUCACAAAGGUGGUUUUCCCAGGGUGAGGCAUACCCAGUACUCCGGAUGUGCUGACCCCUGGGAUUUUGCCAAAUGUGGGAAAUUCGACUGCAUAAUUUGUGGUAGUAGGGGACUGUGUUCAUGCUAUUCCCUG